GGGGAGCAUGGCGCGGUGGCUGGAGUGGGAGUGCCUUUCAAGCUCUUUGGCGCCUGGUGGUUCCUCUCCGCCUUCAUCCUG
RNAcentral lists this transfer RNA (81 nucleotides) under Melittangium boletus DSM 14713. RNAcentral's name for it is "tRNA-Glu". Lineage: Bacteria; Pseudomonadati; Myxococcota; Myxococcia; Myxococcales; Archangiaceae. The record is from RNAcentral.